GAUGAACGCUGGCGGCGUGCCUAAUACAUGCAAGUCGAGCGAACAGACGAGGAGCUUGCUCCUCUGACGUUAGCGGCGGACGGGUGAGUAACACGUGGAUAACCUACCUAUAAGACUGGGAUAACUUCGGGAAACCGGAGCUAAUACCGGAUAAUAUAUUGAACCGCAUGGUUCAAUAGUGAAAGACGGUUUUGCUGUCACUUAUAGAUGGAUCCGCGCCGCAUUAGCUGGUUGGUAAGGUAACGGCUUACCAAGGCAACGAUGCGUAGCCGACCUGAGAGGGUGAUCGGCCACACUGGAACUGAGAAACGGUCCAGACUCCUACGGGAGGCAGCAGUAGGGAAUCUUCCGCAAUGGGCGAAAGCCUGACGGAGCAACGCCGCGUGAGUGAUGAAGGUCUUCGGAUCGUAAAACUCUGUUAUUAGGGAAGAACAAAUGUGUAAGUAACUAUGCACGUCUUGACGGUACCUAAUCAGAAAGCCACGGCUAACUACGUG
RNAcentral lists this ribosomal RNA (497 nucleotides) under uncultured bacterium. RNAcentral's name for it is "partial 16S ribosomal RNA". It matches the Rfam family "Bacterial small subunit ribosomal RNA", at positions 28 to 507 of the family's 1533-position model. The record is from RNAcentral.